RNAcentral lists this long non-coding RNA (13286 nucleotides) under Triticum aestivum (bread wheat). RNAcentral's name for it is "long non-coding RNA (TAES_LNC010330)". The record is from RNAcentral. Lineage: Eukaryota; Viridiplantae; Streptophyta; Magnoliopsida; Poales; Poaceae.
UUUGCAUCACAUGAUCACAACAUAGAUUUCAGACUGAUUAUACACAAUUGUGUCACAACAUGUGUCAAGCUAAAGACAUGCAGAAGAAAAAACAUCUGCAAUUUUGUGAUUUAGGCCAAGGGAAGAAAAAACAUCUGCAAUUUUGUGAUUUAGGCCAAGGAACUAUUUCUGGGCAGGGAUAUAGGAAGGUACUGAUACUCUGUACCACAGCAUUACUCUAAACAUUUCUCAUUUUAAGGAAAAAAAAUCAACCUAUCAUGAUGUUCAAAUGAACCACGCACAUCAUGUUGCUAUCAUGGGCACCUUACAAGCUGAUGAAUAGGCAGCAAAUAGCAGCAUUUGUUUUUUUAGCGUACACCUCUAGAAAAUAAAGUGCAAUAACAGGACCAAUCAAUUCAGGAAUAGAACAUAAAAUUCCCAUAACAAAAAACUAAACACUAGAACAUGACAUGAUCAACCAUGGAAAGGCAAUUUAAUCAAUGUUUAGAGGGAUGAAAUCAGUUAUCAGACCCUUGUUCAGAUAGUACUUCAGCCUCAACUGCAGUAGGUUUCUUCCACACUCUGUCAGUACUCCUCUCCAGCACUUCGCCGUUCUCGUUCUCCUCGCCUUGGACUGGGGAAACCCUCCUCCCAGAGGACCUAACCUCAGGUGGUGCUUCACNNNNNNNNNNNNNNNNNNNNNNNNNNNNNNNNNNNNNNNNNNNNNNNNNNNNNNNNNNNNNNNNNNNNNNNNNNNNNNNNNNNNNNNNNNNNNNNNNNNNUGUGUGUGUGUGUGUGUGUGUGUGUGCUGUCUUUAGUACACACCCUCUUCCAUACACAUUUUCCUUUAACUAAAAUUAACUGCAACCUUUUCAGUUAACUCAAACAUUCAUUCUCUUCUCUGAACUGUUUGUUAUGUAAAACUGUCGUUGAUGAACUGUUGCUGCUAUGUCAAACUGUUGUUGUUGUAUGCUGCUACUACUGCAUUACUGUUUCUGCUGAUGUACUCAAUUAUUGUUUCUGCUAAUGUACUCAAUUACUGCUGAUGGAGUAUGUCAAAUUGCUGCUGCUAUGAAACAGUUUGAGUCAAAUUGAUGCUACUGCUGCUGCUACUCGAUUACUGCUUCUGGUCUUCUCAAUUACUCAAGUGAUCAAUUGAUUUGCAGGAGAAGGAGCAACAGCCAUGGAGUACUCCAGGAGCAGAUCAUGCCCAAAGGGACCACACCCAGGAGAUGGUCGUGGAUCAAACUGCUGCGCCCCGGGGCUGGUGCUUGUGAUGAGCGACGAGGAGAAGCAGGGACCUGGGAGCGCAUGGAUGAUGGAUGCGCGAAGGAUGAGCGCCUUGGACCUAGAUGAUGGAUUCGCCUGGGGCCUGGGAGCGACGGAGGAUGGACGCCUGGGAGUGCCGAGGAGAAGCGAUUUGAAAUCCUAGGAGCAAAGGGGGAAGACGACGAUGGGGAUAGCGAUUCAAAACAGGGGUAGCGUUGUAAAUUCCUUCAUUUCAAAACAGGGCCUCGAAAUGUUCUCUUCAACGCCAUAUAUUUCAAAACGGUGGGAGCAGUUUCAUGCCUAUAUUGAGCACCAUUGUGUCUCGCUCCCAUCACAAUUGAAUAUUUCUCCAUUGUAUUGUUAUCGUAUAUGAAUACGCAUGAUAAACCUGGAUUACUAUCGAUGCUUCAAAACAUUUGGACCGACACCCAUCAUACAAGUACUGCACAUGUUUCUACUGCUUUUGUACGCACAGAUCUAUUUAGCUAAGAAAAAAAAGGGCCCGCCAAAAAAUUGAAGUUCAGGACAGUCACAUAGUGUACUAGAGGCAAAAUGGUCUAUUUACCUCACACUGAACACCGUAAGUGACAAAAAUAGACUGAAAUGUCACCGAGGGAACAAAAUAAAGUUUUGAGUGUCAAAAUGGGAAGAACAAAUUGUUUUGGGCCAAAAAGGGAAGGGGAUUUUAAGAAUGGGACAAAAAGGGAAGGGGAUUUUAAGAAAGGCCAAAUAAAGAAUUCUCUCUCAAAUAUGCUACCACCCAAAAUGCACAGUAACAAAAUUGUGAGGCCCCUCAAGCGCUGUCAUGAACAGCGUCUCACAAACACAAUGUCCAUACCAAAAAUCUACACCAUGUGACGAUUAUCAUGUGCCCAAACAGUGAUGAGAAAAUAAACAGAUAACUCUUGUUACAACUCUUGCCGCACAUGACUAACAAAAAUAAUAAGGCUAGUUUUUUUUUGCGUGUAAAAUAAUAAGGCUAGUGAAUAUAUUAAGUAGACUCGAAUUGUGAAGCGUCUUCAUAACAUGUGAGGCCAUACAUUAAUUUGCAGGUGCAGCUCCUGUAACCUCUGAUCUGCAUUUGCAAAACCAAUCUUUCAUCCAUUAGAGACAAAAUACUGGCACAAAAAUAGAAGACCGUCAUAAGAUGCUAACGAUGCUUGCUAUUCGAAUGAAGCUGUAACAAGAUCUCAAACGGAAGAAAAUAACAUCACCGUCACCUUAUAACAUACUCCCUCCGUUCAGAAAUAACAUAUUACAGGAGAUUAGUAAGCUAUGAAGGCCAUCUCCAAUGGACGUACGCUAAUUUAGAUGCACUCGCAUUUACAAUGCUAAGCACGUUAGCAUAGGCAAACUGCUGGUGUGGCAGCCACAACGUUGGGAUGAAAAAAAAUCCUUAUAACUAAUUAAAUACAUUACUUAUAAUAACUAAUUAAAUACAUUACUUAUAUAGAACCCAAUGCAUAAAAUACACAAGAAACAGACAGGCGCCAGGCACAAAAUUGAACGCCAGGUUUAGGGUGGAAAUAAAUUCUACACUAGCAAAACUACCGGGAUUAUUUCCCCUAGCAACAACCUUAAGCAUCCCAUUGGAGAUGGCCGAAGUGAUCAGAAGAGACGUGAGCACAUUUGUCCAUUCACAGCCUAGGACGUUCAUACAAAGAUUUAAAUCGCCGGCGAAAUCUGCCCGCGAUUUGCAUGGCUCGGUAAAUCGCCGGAGAUCGCGGCGCUAUCGCGGGCGAUUGUGCCAUUCCUUCGUUAACCGUCGCAGCAAAAAUCUCAGCUGCGAUUCACCUUCGCCCGCGAUUUUAAUCUAUGCGUUCAUACAUCCCAAUCCCACAAAACAAGAAAAUUAUUCUGAUAAAGCUUAACAUAACCAAGAAACCAGGCUCAACAUAACCAACAAACUAACAAGGUAUUGCAAUGUAAACAACUUUACACUAUACAAUAGCAUAUCAAAGAUUAAUCUUCUCUUUUUUCUCAAAAAAAUAAAUAAAUAAUCAUAACCCAUGCCAACAGGACUGUUGUUGAAUUAUAGUUCAGACAAGAUUGGUAUAUACUAUAUCUGAGGUGACAAGCUUAACAUCGCUUGAAAAUUCUUUCUAGUGAGUUAUCAUAGUAUAGCCAUAAGCCAAGCAUGCUGAACUGGCCAGAUCUUGUCAUAAGUUAUCUUCACCAUCACAUCCCCUAAUAUACACAGUUGUCAUAAAUGUUAACUACAAUGAUCAAAACAGUGGAUGCGAUCAUUUAACCAAUGACCACUGCAUUGACAGGUGUUCAAAUUGACCAUGUCAUCUCUAUUUAUACGUACUAAAUAAAAGCACACGAAAUAGCAGUCAUCUCCAACAAGCGACCAAAGGAGGGUUAGGUGGAUUGUGUAAUUGGUUGACUGGAACAGCAAGGAAGUCUCCUGGAGAGGCAAACAAACACAUCGCUCGAAUAAUUCUGAAGAUACCAAGCCAGACAAUGACAUAGCUAGCAUAAAUCCGUUUAGAACAAGGAUACAGGAUACAUGCCCAGUAGUGACAGCUAGUUGCGAGAACUGUGUCAGUGCACUGCAAGAACAUGUUGGAGAAAAUAACUGUACACAUUGAUUUUGUACAGUUUCGUAACCAUGAUUUUCUUAGCAACAGAACUCAAAAGUGUUAUUCUGGUCCACAAUGAUGCCAUGCAUGCCGCCCGAGCAUUGGAGUGCUAGUAUAUUUUGAACUGCAAAAACGUCUUAUAUAUUGGGACAGAGGUAGUACUAUCUAGACACUUCCAAGUCCUGAGAAAUGCAAGUUUGGCCUAAAUUGGGUACAUUUGUUUUCCCUCUUUUUUGCAGAUUGGGUGUAUUUGUUCUAACAAAACACAGCCAGCAUAUGCUGCUAGAAUUAAGGAUACCAAUCAUUAUUCCGUUUUAACUAUAGAGGGUAUAUGCCCUGUAGUGACAGCUAGUUGCAAGAACCAUGCCAGUGCACUGUACUCCAGGAGAAGAGUACAUGUUGGAGAAAUAACUGUAGACAAUUAUCUUGAAAAAGUUUCAUCAGCAAGAUUGUCUUAGCAACAAAAACCACAAGCAUUAUUCUGACCCACUAUUCGUGCCAUGCAUGCUGUCCGGGAAUUGGAAUGGUCGUAUAUGGCACCUUUAAUGAUACUACCUAGACAUUUCCUUGAGAUAUGAAGUUUAGUUGAAAAUGGGUAACUUUAUUAUGGCAUAUUUAUACUGAAGGGCCAGUAUAUAAUUGAAGAAUUUCCACAGCUUUUCACAGUUGGUUUGGUUCCAUGAUACUAUAACUGAAUUGGCAGAUGCCAACACCUACAACUCUUAAGCUCAAACAACACAGGGUUGCUAAAAAAUAGAAUGCUAAAUAUUAUUAGAUAGCCUUCUGUCUUGUUAUCAAAUUGGCGAUGCCAAAUGAUACUUAUUUGUCUUUGGCAAGAGGCUGAAUUUCAAAGGCCCAUGCGUUAAUCAUGAUUCAAUGAUUUGGACUUACUGUUAAAAAUAUCUGCCAAUUAAUCCCUGCUCGGUUGGUCACCAAGAUUAACAGAUUUAUCAGCCGAAGAAUUGGCCGAUUCGCCUACUAAUCCCCUACUCUCCAGCUUACCAAGAAGUUACCAGUUAAUGAUUUCCUGAACAUUAUUUUUUUUCAGUAGUUUAUAUAUGGAGGGAUCAAUCAAUGACAAAAGGUGUGUAUGUUAGUGCAGCAAAAGCAAAUGAAAACAGGGACACUUCUAGUUCAACCAAUGCUACCAUAGAAGCAUAUUUUAACUACAAAAUAAAUUUGCAUCACAUGAUCACAACAUAGAUUUCAGACUGAUUAUACACAAUUGUGUCACAACAUGUGUCAAGCUAAAGACAUGCAGAAGAAAAAACAUCUGCAAUUUUGUGAUUUAGGCCAAGGGAAGAAAAAACAUCUGCAAUUUUGUGAUUUAGGCCAAGGAACUAUUUCUGGGCAGGGAUAUAGGAAGGUACUGAUACUCUGUACCACAGCAUUACUCUAAACAUUUCUCAUUUUAAGGAAAAAAAAUCAACCUAUCAUGAUGUUCAAAUGAACCACGCACAUCAUGUUGCUAUCAUGGGCACCUUACAAGCUGAUGAAUAGGCAGCAAAUAGCAGCAUUUGUUUUUUUAGCGUACACCUCUAGAAAAUAAAGUGCAAUAACAGGACCAAUCAAUUCAGGAAUAGAACAUAAAAUUCCCAUAACAAAAAACUAAACACUAGAACAUGACAUGAUCAACCAUGGAAAGGCAAUUUAAUCAAUGUUUAGAGGGAUGAAAUCAGUUAUCAGACCCUUGUUCAGAUAGUACUUCAGCCUCAACUGCAGUAGGUUUCUUCCACACUCUGUCAGUACUCCUCUCCAGCACUUCGCCGUUCUCGUUCUCCUCGCCUUGGACUGGGGAAACCCUCCUCCCAGAGGACCUAACCUCAGGUGGUGCUUCACNNNNNNNNNNCCCACCCACCGCGCGCCUCCCGCGCCACCCAGGCAAUGGAUCCAGCCCCACCGUGCAGCCCACGUGACGGAUCCGGCCGCCGUAGGCCCACAGCACAGUCCCGGUGACUCCCUGGACCUUUCUGCCCUCGAUCUCACCUGCUCCCCUCAGUGUUUCUCCAUCGUCACCAAGCUGUUGCAUCCACAUCCCUCCCUCCUCUUUGGCCAUGACGGCGACCUGUGAUGGGCUCCCACGGCUACCUACAUGGGUCCUCACGUGCAGUUUGCCGGCGCGCAGCAGCACCCGCGUUCAUUUCGCUGAGGGGCAGAGGCCCCCGCAUGUAGUUCUCCGGCAGGAAGUGCGGCAGCACCACCCGUGUAGUUAAGUAGCCCCCCACUAUAGUUGGCCAUGCUGCCAUAUGCAGUUUGCUGGAGGGACAGAGAAGGUUCUCUCAUCAGGGGGAGUCGACGUCGCAACCUUGCAGUCCACAGCGAGCCGCACUGCAUUCAUGUAGUUUGCGUGUACCAUGAAGUCCACUGUUAGCUCUCGUUUGUUACAAAAAUUUGGUGGUUCACUUCUGUUUAUGGAAAACACGAGGAGUAUACUUUCUUUUUGGAUGUGGUUCACUUGUACUAUGCGUUGGUUGAUUUUCAUGUUUUAAAAGUUUUGCACUUCCCAUGUUCAGUUUCCGAGAAGUUCUAAAUUGUUGCUGAUUUGGAAUGGGCAUAUGCAGUUCGGCAGAUGGUCAAGCAGUGCACCAUGGUCCACGGGCAUGGGAAGUGCGGCGUGUGGGUGCAUGCAGUAUGCAACGCUCCUGUUCUACUAUUUUUUCUUGAACUGGCUACUGCUGAUUUUGUGUGUAUGUAUGUGUGUGUGGCUGUGCAAAAGAAAAGAUGGAUGUAUUGUGUCCAUGAGCAUCAUCGUACUUUGUUUUAUGUUUUGUGAGGUUCAUUUGUUCUUUAAAUUACUCAAAGAAUGUUGGUGCAAGGUAAAAAAAAGUUGAUGCAAAGAAAUGUAAUUUUAAAUGCAGUCCACUCGCCUCAUUCAUGCAACUCGCUAACAUUGAUCAUGUGGUCGAGAUAAAUUUGAAAGUGCUCCUAAACCGUAGUGAAUUAGAGAAAGUAAUAUGACUAUUUUGUAGACUCCACGCAUGGUAGGGCCUCUCUUCUAUAGACUCAGUACUUGCAGUAUCUCGGAGCAUCUUGGAGUAGCUUCUUGGAGACUUACGGUAUCAUCUUGGAGUAGUUAGAGUACUCCAAAAAGACAGUGGUUAGUGGAGGAAGAGAGUUUCUUCAACAUACUCCAUCUGAAGAUUUAAGUGCAGUAUUCCUUGCAGUAAUUAUUACAGCGUUGCUAUAGUUUUGUUAAGUAUAGUACUCCUUGCAAUAAAUAUUCAGAGAAGGUGUUAAUUUUGCACAUGAAGCUACUGUUAAUGGAUUAGCUGAUCUGGUGUACUAACAGAGAAGGUGUACGGUUAAUUACAGUAUUCAGAGCACUGUUAAUUUUGGACUAUCUUGUUUCUGCUAAUGGAGUAGUUAUUCAGAAAAGGUGAUCUGGUGCAGUAGCUUGAUUUGGUGCAGAAGUUUGAUCUGAUGUAGUGAUUUUUCAGAGCAGUAGCUGAUCUUGUGUAGUAGUUAUUCAAAAAUUGAUGUAGUGCAGCUUCUCUUCUCUUUCUCUUCUCUUCUCUUCUCUUCUCUUCUCUUCUCUUCUCUUCUUAACAGUAGCAGUGCAGCUCUAGAGGAGUACUCCAUUAACAGUAGCAGUAUAUCUUCUCUUCUUUUCUCUGCUUACAAGGGGAGUAUUCCAGUAAUUUAUGUAGUUGAGCUAGCUCUUCUCUUCUCUGAAUACAGUAGUCGAGGUACAAAAAUUUUGGGAGUACAGUAUGCUGGAGUAAUAUGUUGGGAGUACAAAGAAUUUUGGCCUAAUAUAUGGAGUACUCUCUUUCCUGGAGCUAUGGAGUACUCUAGCAGUAGUUGUUGAGGAGUACAAAGAAUUUCAGUAAAGUUUCUCUUCUCUUCUCCUCUAGAGCUUCUCUUAUCUUCAUUUCUUUGUUGGAGUAGCUGUUGAGCACUAGCAAUAAUUAAAAUUUCUCUUCUCUUCUCAUCCUGCUUCAUUUAAACUCUCUCUCUCUCUCUCUCUCUGUGUGUGUGUGUGUGUGUGUGUGUGUGUGUGUGCUGUCUUUAGUACACACCCUCUUCCAUACACAUUUUCCUUUAACUAAAAUUAACUGCAACCUUUUCAGUUAACUCAAACAUUCAUUCUCUUCUCUGAACUGUUUGUUAUGUAAAACUGUCGUUGAUGAACUGUUGCUGCUAUGUCAAACUGUUGUUGUUGUAUGCUGCUACUACUGCAUUACUGUUUCUGCUGAUGUACUCAAUUAUUGUUUCUACUAAUGUACUCAAUUACUGCUGAUGGAGUAUGUCAAAUUGCUGCUGCUAUGAAACAGUUUGAGUCAAAUUGAUGCUACUGCUGCUGCUACUCGAUUACUGCUUCUGGUCUUCUCAAUUACUCAAGUGAUCAAUUGAUUUGCAGGAGAAGGAGCAACAGCCAUGGAGUACUCCAGGAGCAGAUCAUGCCCAAAGGGACCACACCCAGGAGAUGGUCGUGGAUCAAACUGCUGCGCCCCGGGGCUGGUGCUUGUGAUGAGCGACGAGGAGAAGCAGGGACCUGGGAGCGCAUGGAUGAUGGAUGCGCGAAGGAUGAGCGCCUUGGACCUAGAUGAUGGAUUCGCCUGGGGCCUGGGAGCGACGGAGGAUGGACGCCUGGGAGUGCCGAGGAGAAGCGAUUUGAAAUCCUAGGAGCAAAGGGGGAAGACGACGAUGGGGAUAGCGAUUCAAAACAGGGGUAGCGUUGUAAAUUCCUUCAUUUCAAAACAGGGCCUCGAAAUGUUCUCUUCAACGCCAUAUAUUUCAAAACGGUGGGAGCAGUUUCAUGCCUAUAUUGAGCACCAUUGUGUCUCGCUCCCAUCACAAUUGAAUAUUUCUCCAUUGUAUUGUUAUCGUAUAUGAAUACGCAUGAUAAACCUGGAUUACUAUCGAUGCUUCAAAACAUUUGGACCGACACCCAUCAUACAAGUACUGCACAUGUUUCUACUGCUUUUGUACGCACAGAUCUAUUUAGCUAAGAAAAAAAAGGGCCCGCCAAAAAAUUGAAGUUCAGGACAGUCACAUAGUGUACUAGAGGCAAAAUGGUCUAUUUACCUCACACUGAACACCGUAAGUGACAAAAAUAGACUGAAAUGUCACCGAGGGAACAAAAUAAAGUUUUGAGUGUCAAAAUGGGAAGAACAAAUUGUUUUGGGCCAAAAAGGGAAGGGGAUUUUAAGAAUGGGACAAAAAGGGAAGGGGAUUUUAAGAAAGGCCAAAUAAAGAAUUCUCUCUCAAAUAUGCUACCACCCAAAAUGCACAGUAACAAAAUUGUGAGGCCCCUCAAGCGCUGUCAUGAACANNNNNNNNNNNNNNNNNNNNNNNNNNNNNNNNNNNNNNNNNNNNNNNNNNNNNNNNNNNNNNNNNNNNNNNNNNNNNNNNNNNNNNNNNNNNNNNNNNNNNNNNNNNNNNNNNNNNNNNNNNNNNNNNNNNNNNNNNNNNNNNNNNNNNNNNNNNNNNNNNNNNNNNNNNNNNNNNNNNNNNNNNNNNNNNNNNNNNNNNNNNNNNNNNNNNNNNNNNNNNNNNNNNNNNNNNNNNNNNNNNNNNNNNNNNNNNNNNNNNNNNNNNNNNNNNNNNNNNNNNNNNNNNNNNNNNNNNNNNNNNNNNNNNNNNNNNNNNNNNNNNNNNNNNNNNNNNNNNNNNNNNNNNNNNNNNNNNNNNNNNNNNNNNNNNNNNNNNNNNNNNNNNNNNNNNNNNNNNNNNNNNNNNNNNNNNNNNNNNNNNNNNNNNNNNNNNNNNNNNNNNNNNNNNNNNNNNNNNNNNNNNNNNNNNNNNNNNNNNNNNNNCACAAACACAAUGUCCAUACCAAAAAUCUACACCAUGUGACGAUUAUCAUGUGCCCAAACAGUGAUGAGAAAAUAAACAGAUAACUCUUGUUACAACUCUUGCCGCACAUGACUAACAAAAAUAAUAAGGCUAGUUUUUUUUUGCGUGUAAAAUAAUAAGGCUAGUGAAUAUAUUAAGUAGACUCGAAUUGUGAAGCGUCUUCAUAACAUGUGAGGCCAUACAUUAAUUUGCAGGUGCAGCUCCUGUAACCUCUGAUCUGCAUUUGCAAAACCAAUCUUUCAUCCAUUAGAGACAAAAUACUGGCACAAAAAUAGAAGACCGUCAUAAGAUGCUAACGAUGCUUGCUAUUCGAAUGAAGCUGUAACAAGAUCUCAAACGGAAGAAAAUAACAUCACCGUCACCUUAUAACAUACUCCCUCCGUUCAGAAAUAACAUAUUACAGGAGAUUAGUAAGCUAUGAAGGCCAUCUCCAAUGGACGUACGCUAAUUUAGAUGCACUCGCAUUUACAAUGCUAAGCACGUUAGCAUAGGCAAACUGCUGGUGUGGCAGCCACAACGUUGGGAUGAAAAAAAAUCCUUAUAACUAAUUAAAUACAUUACUUAUAAUAACUAAUUAAAUACAUUACUUAUAUAGAACCCAAUGCAUAAAAUACACAAGAAACAGACAGGCGCCAGGCACAAAAUUGAACGCCAGGUUUAGGGUGGAAAUAAAUUCUACACUAGCAAAACUACCGGGAUUAUUUCCCCUAGCAACAACCUUAAGCAUCCCAUUGGAGAUGGCCGAAGUGAUCAGAAGAGACGUGAGCACAUUUGUCCAUUCACAGCCUAGGACGUUCAUACAAAGAUUUAAAUCGCCGGCGAAAUCUGCCCGCGAUUUGCAUGGCUCGGUAAAUCGCCGGAGAUCGCGGCGCUAUCGCGGGCGAUUGUGCCAUUCCUUCGUUAACCGUCGCAGCAAAAAUCUCAGCUGCGAUUCACCUUCGCCCGCGAUUUUAAUCUAUGCGUUCAUACAUCCCAAUCCCACAAAACAAGAAAAUUAUUCUGAUAAAGCUUAACAUAACCAAGAAACCAGGCUCAACAUAACCAACAAACUAACAAGGUAUUGCAAUGUAAACAACUUUACACUAUACAAUAGCAUAUCAAAGAUUAAUCUUCUCUUUUUUCUCAAAAAAAUAAAUAAAUAAUCAUAACCCAUGCCAACAGGACUGUUGUUGAAUUAUAGUUCAGACAAGAUUGGUAUAUACUAUAUCUGAGGUGACAAGCUUAACAUCGCUUGAAAAUUCUUUCUAGUGAGUUAUCAUAGUAUAGCCAUAAGCCAAGCAUGCUGAACUGGCCAGAUCUUGUCAUAAGUUAUCUUCACCAUCACAUCCCCUAAUAUACACAGUUGUCAUAAAUGUUAACUACAAUGAUCAAAACAGUGGAUGCGAUCAUUUAACCAAUGACCACUGCAUUGACAGGUGUUCAAAUUGACCAUGUCAUCUCUAUUUAUACGUACUAAAUAAAAGCACACGAAAUAGCAGUCAUCUCCAACAAGCGACCAAAGGAGGGUUAGGUGGAUUGUGUAAUUGGUUGACUGGAACAGCAAGGAAGUCUCCUGGAGAGGCAAACAAACACAUCGCUCGAAUAAUUCUGAAGAUACCAAGCCAGACAAUGACAUAGCUAGCAUAAAUCCGUUUAGAACAAGGAUACAGGAUACAUGCCCAGUAGUGACAGCUAGUUGCGAGAACUGUGUCAGUGCACUGCAAGAACAUGUUGGAGAAAAUAACUGUACACAUUGAUUUUGUACAGUUUCGUAACCAUGAUUUUCUUAGCAACAGAACUCAAAAGUGUUAUUCUGGUCCACAAUGAUGCCAUGCAUGCCGCCCGAGCAUUGGAGUGCUAGUAUAUUUUGAACUGCAAAAACGUCUUAUAUAUUGGGACAGAGGUAGUACUAUCUAGACACUUCCAAGUCCUGAGAAAUGCAAGUUUGGCCUAAAUUGGGUACAUUUGUUUUCCCUCUUUUUUGCAGAUUGGGUGUAUUUGUUCUAACAAAACACAGCCAGCAUAUGCUGCUAGAAUUAAGGAUACCAAUCAUUAUUCCGUUUUAACUAUAGAGGGUAUAUGCCCUGUAGUGACAGCUAGUUGCAAGAACCAUGCCAGUGCACUGUACUCCAGGAGAAGAGUACAUGUUGGAGAAAUAACUGUAGACAAUUAUCUUGAAAAAGUUUCAUCAGCAAGAUUGUCUUAGCAACAAAAACCACAAGCAUUAUUCUGACCCACUAUUCGUGCCAUGCAUGCUGUCCGGGAAUUGGAAUGGUCGUAUAUGGCACCUUUAAUGAUACUACCUAGACAUUUCCUUGAGAUAUGAAGUUUAGUUGAAAAUGGGUAACUUUAUUAUGGCAUAUUUAUACUGAAGGGCCAGUAUAUAAUUGAAGAAUUUCCACAGCUUUUCACAGUUGGUUUGGUUCCAUGAUACUAUAACUGAAUUGGCAGAUGCCAACACCUACAACUCUUAAGCUCAAACAACACAGGGUUGCUAAAAAAUAGAAUGCUAAAUAUUAUUAGAUAGCCUUCUGUCUUGUUAUCAAAUUGGCGAUGCCAAAUGAUACUUAUUUGUCUUUGGCAAGAGGCUGAAUUUCAAAGGCCCAUGCGUUAAUCAUGAUUCAAUGAUUUGGACUUACUGUUAAAAAUAUCUGCCAAUUAAUCCCUGCUCGGUUGGUCACCAAGAUUAACAGAUUUAUCAGCCGAAGAAUUGGCCGAUUCGCCUACUAAUCCCCUACUCUCCAGCUUACCAAGAAGUUACCAGUUAAUGAUUUCCUGAACAUUAUUUUUUUUCAGUAGUUUAUAUAUGGAGGGAUCAAUCAAUGACAAAAGGUGUGUAUGUUAGUGCAGCAAAAGCAAAUGAAAACAGGGACACUUCUAGUUCAACCAAUGCUACCAUAGAAGCAUAUUUUAACUACAAAAUAAAUUUGCAUCACAUGAUCACAACAUAGAUUUCAGACUGAUUAUACACAAUUGUGUCACAACAUGUGUCAAGCUAAAGACAUGCAGAAGAAAAAACAUCUGCAAUUUUGUGAUUUAGGCCAAGGGAAGAAAAAACAUCUGCAAUUUUGUGAUUUAGGCCAAGGAACUAUUUCUGGGCAGGGAUAUAGGAAGGUACUGAUACUCUGUACCACAGCAUUACUCUAAACAUUUCUCAUUUUAAGGAAAAAAAAUCAACCUAUCAUGAUGUUCAAAUGAACCACGCACAUCAUGUUGCUAUCAUGGGCACCUUACAAGCUGAUGAAUAGGCAGCAAAUAGCAGCAUUUGUUUUUUUAGCGUACACCUCUAGAAAAUAAAGUGCAAUAACAGGACCAAUCAAUUCAGGAAUAGAACAUAAAAUUCCCAUAACAAAAAACUAAACACUAGAACAUGACAUGAUCAACCAUGGAAAGGCAAUUUAAUCAAUGUUUAGAGGGAUGAAAUCAGUUAUCAGACCCUUGUUCAGAUAGUACUUCAGCCUCAACUGCAGUAGGUUUCUUCCACACUCUGUCAGUACUCCUCUCCAGCACUUCGCCGUUCUCGUUCUCCUCGCCUUGGACUGGGGAAACCCUCCUCCCAGAGGACCUAACCUCAGGUGGUGCUUCACGCACCUUCAGGGCCUCAAGCUUCUCAUCAAUCUUCCUCCAAUCUUCCCCCUUCCCAGCAAGCACUUCCUCCCGUGGGCGGGCUGCCCC